CUGAUUUUGAUUUCGGAGUAGAAUGGGAAUGGCCCAAUCUAUCUAAAACUCAAUCUCCACUCUCUUCUAUGGAUUCAAAUUUUCAUUUUAAUUCUGAUUUCGAUCAUGAACUAAAUACUUCAAGAAAUUUGGUCAUUCCGAUUUUCGUUCUAAUUUAUUUCGAUUCUAAUUCUGAUCACAAACCAAGCACCACCUAAAAUAGGAA
RNAcentral lists this long non-coding RNA (205 nucleotides) under Elaeis guineensis (African oil palm). RNAcentral describes it as "long non-coding RNA (EGUI_LNC009435)". Lineage: Eukaryota; Viridiplantae; Streptophyta; Magnoliopsida; Arecales; Arecaceae. The record is from RNAcentral.